UAAUGAUCACAUGGGGUACUUCUAGCAUUACAAAGUUGAUAAAGUAUGAUAUAUGGGACCAACAUCUCGAUGAGUUGUUUAAUAGCUGGGAUUCUCUCUGAAUGAGAAGUCUCGCAUCUUGCCAUGUAGCUUGUGGCUACUAAUUAAAUGGAGAAAGUUCCUUUGAUGAUAUACCAUGCACGGGCGUUAGCCAGCAGAUAGCUAUACUUUUUUAGUGUUAUUUCUCUUUCGUAUGCAAUGAAGGCAG
RNAcentral lists this long non-coding RNA (247 nucleotides) under Amborella trichopoda. RNAcentral's name for it is "long non-coding RNA (ATRI_LNC000888)". Lineage: Eukaryota; Viridiplantae; Streptophyta; Magnoliopsida; Amborellales; Amborellaceae. The record is from RNAcentral.